GACACGACUCUCGGCAACGGAUAUCUCGGCUCUCGCAUCGAUGAAGAACGUAGCGAAUGCGAUACCUGGUGUGAAUUGCAGAAUCCCGCGAACCAUCGAGUCUUUGAACGCAAGUUGCGCCCGAGGCCACCCGGUCGAGGGCACGCCUGCCUGGGCGUCACG
RNAcentral lists this ribosomal RNA (162 nucleotides) under Brachypodium stacei. Its description in RNAcentral is "5.8S ribosomal RNA". It matches the Rfam family "5.8S ribosomal RNA". Rfam says of the family: 5.8S ribosomal RNA (5.8S rRNA) is a component of the large subunit of the eukaryotic ribosome. It is transcribed by RNA polymerase I as part of the 45S precursor that also contains 18S and 28S rRNA. Functionally, it is thought that 5.8S rRNA may be involved in ribosome translocation. The record is from RNAcentral. Lineage: Eukaryota; Viridiplantae; Streptophyta; Magnoliopsida; Poales; Poaceae.